RNAcentral lists this ribosomal RNA (371 nucleotides) under uncultured bacterium. RNAcentral's name for it is "bacterial SSU rRNA". It matches the Rfam family "Bacterial small subunit ribosomal RNA", at positions 527 to 896 of the family's 1533-position model. The record is from RNAcentral.
GUAGGGUGCGAGCGUUAAUCGGAAUUACUGGGCGUAAAGCGUGCGCAGGCGGUGAUGUAAGACAGAUGUGAAAUCCCCGGGCUCAACCUGGGACCUGCAUUUGUGACUGCAUCGCUAGAGUACGGUAGAGGGGGAUGGAAUUCCGCGUGUAGCAGUGAAAUGCGUAGAUAUGCGGAGGAACACCGAUGGCGAAGGCAAUCCCCUGGACCUGUACUGACGCUCAUGCACGAAAGCGUGGGGAGCAAACAGGAUUAGAUACCCUGGUAGUCCACGCCCUAAACGAUGUCAACUAGGUGUUGGGGAAGGAGACUUCCUUAGUACCGUAGCUAACGCGUGAAGUUGGCCGCCUGGGGAGUACGGUCGCAAGAUUA